Molecule: long non-coding RNA, 385 nt
Organism: Chroicocephalus ridibundus (black-headed gull)
Lineage: Eukaryota; Metazoa; Chordata; Aves; Charadriiformes; Laridae
Exons: 3
Source: RefSeq, a predicted model, not a curated record
GAAGCUCUGAAAAAAUGCAGAAGCUCUGUAGGAAUGCAGCAUGAGCAAGGGGAACAAUACGACGUAUUCUCAGGCUUCUCUGCUUCUAUGGGAGAGUCCUGCUUGUGACCUUCUGCUUCUGCUGUGUUUUCUGGAUGCACGAUCAGGAGAACAGUACAUGCUGCGUGGAGCAGUUUGUGCUUGAGCAGCUCCAAGGAUUGGUCUGGACACUGGGUAACCCUCAUGCUUAAAGACAACAUGGGAUAUUCCCCCAUCUCUCAACAGCCCUUCCUUUGGAUCCCAGCAUUAAGCACGUUGCAUGAAGCCCUCUGUUUUAUGUGCUCCGGAGUGACCUAGUUGCCUCUGGGAAUGGGCAGCCAGCGACUUGAAUACACCUCCGGCAGUG